Tricholoma furcatifolium is the source of this 84-nucleotide non-coding RNA. The record is from the annotation of a GenBank genome assembly. NCBI's taxonomy places the organism in Eukaryota, Fungi, Basidiomycota, Agaricomycetes, Agaricales, Tricholomataceae.
GGGUCGAUGGCGUAGUCGGUUAUCGCAUCUGUCUUACAUUGUCAUGUCCACAGAAGGUCCUCAGUUCGAGCCUGGGUCGACUCA